CCUACGUGAGGCUGCAGUGGGGAAUAUUGCACAAUGGGGGAAACCCUGAUGCAGCGACGCCGCGUGAGUGAAGAAGUAAUUCGUUAUGUAAAGCUCUAUCAGCAGGGAAGAAAAUGACGGUACCUGAGUAAGAAGCCCCGGCUAACUACGUGCCAGCAGCCGCGGUAAUACGGAGGGGGCAAGCGUUAUCCGGAUUUACUGGGUGUAAAGGGAGCGUAGUCGGCAGUGCAAGUCUGGAGUGAAAGGGGGGGGCUCAACCCCCGGACUGCUCUGGAAACUGUACGGCUGGAGUGCAGGAGAGGUAGGUGGAAUUCCUGGUGUAGCGGUGAAAUGCGUAGAUAUUAGGAAGAACACCAGUGGCGAAGGCAGCUUACUGGACUGUAACUGACGUUGAGGCUCGAAAGCGUGGGGAGCAAACAGGAUUAGAUACCCUAGUAGUC
Molecule: ribosomal RNA, 440 nt
Filed under: uncultured bacterium
Lineage: Bacteria
Description: partial 16S ribosomal RNA
Rfam family: Bacterial small subunit ribosomal RNA
Source: RNAcentral